UACAGAGGGGGCGAGCGUUAUCCGGAAUUACUGGGCGUAAAGCGCACGCAGGCGGUUCGCCAAGUUUGGAGUGACAGUUGUCGGCUCAACCGACAAAGGACUUCAAAAACUGGUGAACUUGAGGACGAGAGAGGAACAUGGAACUCCAGGUGUAGUAGUGAAAUGCGUAGAUAUCUGGAAGAACACCAAUGGCGAAGGCAAUGUUCUGGCUCGUUUCUGACGCUCAGGUGCGAAAGCCAGGGGAGCGAACGGG
This 253-nucleotide ribosomal RNA is filed under the name uncultured bacterium. RNAcentral describes it as "partial 16S ribosomal RNA". It matches the Rfam family "Bacterial small subunit ribosomal RNA", at positions 524 to 776 of the family's 1533-position model. The record is from RNAcentral.